RNAcentral lists this ribosomal RNA (406 nucleotides) under uncultured bacterium. Its description in RNAcentral is "bacterial SSU rRNA". It matches the Rfam family "Bacterial small subunit ribosomal RNA", at positions 354 to 776 of the family's 1533-position model. The record is from RNAcentral.
GUGGGGGAUAUUGCACAAUGGGGGAAACCCUGAUGCAGCGAUGCCGCGUGGAGGAAGAAGGUUUUCGGAUUGUAAACUCCUGUCGUAAGGGAAGAGAAAGGACUGUACCUUACAAGAAAGCUCCGGCUAACUACGUGCCAGCAGCCGCGGUAAUACGUAGGGAGCGAGCGUUGUCCGGAAUGACUGGGUGUAAAGGGAGCGUAGGCGGGAUGGCAAGUCAGAUGUGAAAACUGAGGGCUCAACCUUCAGACUGCAUUUGAAACUGCUGUUCUUGAGUGAGGUAGAGGUAAGCGGAAUUCCUGGUGUAGCGGUGAAAUGCGUAGAGAUCAGGAGGAACAUCGGUGGCGAAGGCGGCUUACUGGGCCUUUACUGACGCUGAGGCUCGAAAGCGUGGGGAGCAAACAGG